Molecule: ribosomal RNA, 359 nt
Filed under: uncultured bacterium
Lineage: Bacteria
Description: partial 16S ribosomal RNA
Rfam family: Bacterial small subunit ribosomal RNA
Source: RNAcentral
CCUACGGGAGGCUGCAGUGAGGAAUAUUGGUCAAUGGGCUUACGCCUGAACCAGCCAAGUCGCGUGAGGGAAGACUGCCCUAUGGGUUGUAAACCUCUUUUGUCAGGGAACAACGCCGGCUACGUGUAGCCGGACUGAGAGUACCUGAAGAAAAAGCAUCGUCUAACUCCGUGCCAGCAGCCGCGGUAAUACGGAGGAUGCGAGCGUUAUCCGGAUUUAUUGGGUUUAAAGGGUGCGUAGGCGGAAUGCCAAGUCAGCGGAAAAAUCGCGGGGCUCAACCCCGCGACGCCGUUGAAACUGGAGUUCUUGGGUGGGCGAGAAGUAUGCGGAAUGGGGGGUGUAGCGGUGAAAGGCAUGGA